GAUGAACGCUGGCGGCGUGCCUAAUACAUGCAAGUCGAGCGAACAGACGAGGAGCUUGCUCCUCUGACGUUAGCGGCGGACGGGUGAGUAACACGUGGAUAACCUACCUAUAAGACUGGGAUAACUUCGGGAAACCGGAGCUAAUACCGGAUAAUAUAUUGAACCGCAUGGUUCAAUAGUGAAAGACGGUUUUGCUGUCACUUAUAGAUGGAUCCGCGCCGCAUUAGCUAGUUGGUAAGGUAGCGGCUUACCAAGGCAACGAUGCGUAGCCGACCUGAGAGGGUGAUCGGCCACACUGGAACUGAGACACGGUCCAGACUCCUACGGGAGGCAGCAGUAGGGAAUCUUCCGCAAUGGGCGAAAGCCUGACGGAGCAACGCCGCGUGAGUGACGAAGGUCUUCGGAUCGUAAAACUCUGUUAUUAGGGAAGAACAAAUGUGUAAGUAACUAUGCACGUCUUGACGGUACCUAAUCAGAAAGCCACGGCUAACUACGUG
This 497-nucleotide ribosomal RNA is filed under the name uncultured bacterium. RNAcentral's name for it is "partial 16S ribosomal RNA". It matches the Rfam family "Bacterial small subunit ribosomal RNA", at positions 28 to 507 of the family's 1533-position model. The record is from RNAcentral.